Myodes glareolus (Bank vole) is the source of this 9520-nucleotide non-coding RNA. The record is from RefSeq and is a predicted model, not a curated record. NCBI's taxonomy places the organism in Eukaryota, Metazoa, Chordata, Mammalia, Rodentia, Cricetidae.
CACCGGGCGCGCGGCGCGUCUGUGCCAAGCAGCCGCUGCAUUCGGAGCCGAGGACCAGUGGCCCGCAAUGUCCCGAUGCCCUCCGAUCUUCCCCUCACCCCAGUGGCCCGCACUGUGGCCCCGCGCGCACCCUGGCCCGCUGGGUCCCGAGCCCGCUCGACGGCCAGGCUCUCUCUGAGCGUCCGGGCCCGCUGCGCCCGCCUGACCGCUCCGGGAUGCACGUGAACUUGGAGAAAGUCACGGGGCACGCCGGGCCGGUCCUCCGCGGCAGGGCGUGGGCACAUGCGGGUCGGCACGCUUUCGUUUGCGUCCCGGACAAAGGUCUCCAGUGGCGCCAGUCGUGGACGCGUGAUUCAUUCCUUCUGGCCACUCUUUUGAGUGGUGGGUCGUUGGAUGCAGGACUGCAGAAGCCCUGAGAGCAGGAGCUGUGGGUAUGGAGCACGGGGCCUCGCUGUGCGCUCGUCGGCGGCCGUUCCACCCUGCGAAGAGUUGCGGGAGCUGAUCCGCGCUGCCCUCCGCUGUUCCUGAGCGCCCAGGAGCCCGGCGCAAGUCACCCCAGACUCCAGUCAGCGGCCACGGGCACGCCAGCGCAGCGCUAGCCGCGGCCAAGAGGCGUUCUGGCAGGGCGGUGGACCUGUCUGCCGCGGGCAUGAUCAAGGUUGGAGAGAACAUGGCUGCUCCAGAGAGCCUCCCAGGAAAGGGAAAGCCAGUCACGUGUAUCAGAAGACCCCGGAGGACCUCAUACACAGGCUUCAGCCUCUUCUGGACAACUCUCCCAGGUGACCUCUGAAGCUCAGGGACCAUGUCCAGCCCAGGCCCUGCCCUGGAUUCGUGUUGACUCGUCCCUGUCAGAGGCGUGAAUCCUUGGCCGUGUGAGUUACAUCUCUCCUAUGACCCACCCACCCUGCAAGGUGGCUUCUAUGACUGUAGCGUCCCUGCCCCCUGGGCCUCAGACUGGCUACCUGUGAAGUGGGAUUGUACUCCACACAGAUUUUUUGCUCUGCCCAGGUCCAAAGGAGGCAGCCUGAGGUGAGACCUGUAACCCCUAGAGCUGUUUCCUUUGCCCCGAGUGUGUAACUGGAUUCUGAAUACAGCAGAGGCUAGGAUGGGGAGGGGGGGCACAAAGGAAUUCUGCAAAACCUGUUCCAGCCCUCUGGAGUGCCCACUGCCCUCUGUCUAGAGAGGCUUGGAGACCAGCUGUGGUGAGGGGGCAGUGGGACCCCUAGCCAGGGGCCGGAAAGGGGAAUUGAAUAGAUGACGGUCAGUUGUUUAAGAAGCAGCUGGAACGAGAUGAAAAAGCUAAGGGCUGUUCUAGUUGGAGCUGUAGAAAGUGGGGAGAGCAGUAGCCGUAUGCGCCUGAAGAAAGCCUUCCUGGCAUCUGUCCUGUUGAUGGCCGCUUUGGCAACUGAUCCCUUGACCCGUUGGCCCCAGACAGGAAGGAACUAUCUAGCCCACUCGUUCCUGGAGCAUAGGAUGGCACUUGAGCCCCUUGGCUUGGGGCCUCCCAACCGGGACAGAUAAGGACACAUCCUGUAGAUUCUAGAGAGGAGCUCAGGCCCGGGAGGCCUCACCGUGGACCACCCAGAGCCCCUUGAGGGGAAGUGUGGGAGUCACUGGAAGCCUGGAGCCUGUUUGAAGCUUGGCUGGGAGGAGAGCCUGGAAGGGGACAGCUUGACCCAUUUUCUCUGACCAGACCAUCUCGGGCCUCAGCCUAGGGCAUAGCCUUGUUCUGGUAGGUUGUUCUUUCUCCUCCCUGCCAGACAUCUACUGGUCCCACCCUCUGGCUUUCACGGCCUUUGUCUUCCAAGGGUGCCACAAAAUGGCCGACACAGCCCUCCGCCAUUUUGUAGUUGAAACAAACGGUAGCCUUGGAGAGGAGGAGACCCCUGCUUCCCGCCUGCCCUGAGUGGCCUGGACAGAGCCCAGGACCAGCGCCCCCUCCCCCACUUGGCUUUGGCCAUGGCCGCCCCAGGCUUGGCACAGCCAGCUGCUUGGCAAGGGUGCCUGGGAGUCCUGGCCCCUUAUCCAGCUCCACUUCUGCCUUACUACCCACCAAGCAAACAGAGAAGGAGGCUAUACAUCAGAAUCGGGAAAGCCAGCCACCAGCACUGUCCUUGGCCAAGGUGGGGCUGGCGUAGAUGGUUCUAGAAAUGAUGUCUGUACUUUGGUACCAGGUUCCUGAGUGUGGCCAUCAACAAGCAUAGAUUUGAGUUAGGUCUCCCUGAGAGAAAAGCCUCUGGCCUCCAAAUGCCGUUCAUACCUUUUACCUGACCAGGGACCUUGGGGAUCCCUGGCUGAGCGUGAUAUAGAAUGCCAGGGUUUCACAGCGGCCAAUCUGUCUCCUGGCCUGGGUAACCUAUGAUGUCAUCAAGUAGUCCUGGUGCUUGCUAGAGGAGGCCGCUUUGCUCCAAGAGCAAGGCCACCCACUGGGCCACUGAGGCUCUGAGGUACAGGAAACUUUUCCCUAUCACACGGUUCCUCUGCUUCCCUAGAGAUCAGAAGCAGAACCUCCCAGACUUAUGCUGCCUUAAUGACGCCAUCCAGGCCCACAGCACCCCCAGUAUCCCUGGGUCAUACUGACAGUACUUUCCAACUUCCUGAGGUAGGACAAAUGGGGCAGGCUCUGGGAGCCAGGAAUGGUCAGACAGCCCUGCCACCCCUGUGAUUGGGGGUCCUUAAAAGAAGCUAGGUGGCAGUUCCCUGUGAAGCAGGGAAGGGUGUGGGAUAAAAUCUUUGACUCUUCCUGGGUAGCAUGGGGGUUGCUCCAUGGCCUUGCCUGGCCCCGUGCCCUCUGCCAGGAUAGCAGGAAGCCAUGUGUAGACAGUAGGACCAAGCUGUCUCAUCUAGGAAGCUAGCUGAAUGCCAGCCCCAGGCUUCUUUCUUCCCACAGCUCCCAGGAAGAACAUUUUGUCACCGUGAGGUGAGGCUUGCUCAGGCCAUGUCCCCUUCCGGGGAGACCCUGCAGUCCAAAGCCCACCUGCCCGGACCAAUGUUUUCCCAUGUGCCAGGCUAGAAUGGACCCUCCCGGGGUCCUGGAAUAUAGGCUUCCUAGAAUGAGAAAAAAUCUCCCCAGGAAGGGCCAGGUCCAGAGGGAGUCAAAUAGCAGGCAGAGCAUGUGCCCCACAGUGUGGCAUCUGAAGUCCUUUCCCAUGCACCUUCCUAUGACCUGGACUGUGCAUGGGUGGGGGAAUAUUUGCAGAUUGAGUGGCCAAAGCUGGUAACCUGUAGCUAAAUGUCCAGCCCCAGGCGGAGUGCAGGGUGCAGGAGGGCCCCGCGAGGGCCUUUCCAGUGUACCCCAGGCCUUCAGUGCUUUGUCCUAGGCAUAUGCCAGUGACUUCUCAUGACUCCCACUGCUGUCCAUACCAGACUGCUAUCUCACUAGUCCUCCAGAGAAGGCACAGAGCCGACUGACUUUGUCUCGGACCCUAUUUCUAGAUGAAGAGAGCUAGGUUCAGAUCUGGGCCUCCCCAGCCAGGCUCUAGACCCUGAAUCUCCCUUUCUCUCUCAUGAAUUUUGCUAUGGGUCACACACAGUGUUCAUUACCUCUGUUCUAGAGGUGGGCAUGCCACCAGGGUACCGCAGCUCUCGAGUCUGCUCAAAGCCCAGUGCAGGUCAAAUCCACCUCGGGAUCAGUGUGAGGUGUGUAGGGCUAGAGAGAGCCAGGUUCAAGGCACUUAGAUGCUAGCUCCAAGUUUGACCUUGCAUCCUUGUGGUACACUUUUGGAAAAGGAUGUUCAAGCCUGUGAGGUACUUCCCCACAGGCCUGUCAGAGCAGUCCAGUCUGAAGCCAGGGCACUGAGCAAACCUGGGUCAUCUUUGUUCAAAUAUGAUCUUGUAAUGUCUCGGGCAAUCACAUUAGUUGUUUUGCUAAAGUUUACACAAAGGCCUCACUUGUCUUAGUGACUGAGAUUUUGGUCACCCCUAACAUGCUUGUCUUAGCCAGUCCCAAGAGACUCCUCAGUAGGCAUGGCCUGCCUCUGGGCACACUGACCCAGGCCUAGUCAGUAAGCAUGCAUCUUGCUAACUUUAUGGGCCGUGUUCACAAGGAGACCCGCCUUCUGCCCAGCCGGAUGCCACCCCUCCCAUCGUUCCGACUUGCUGUUGGCACGGCCUACUGAGCAGAGACACUGGUGGCCUUAUGGGAGAAACCUAAUCAGGGAGGCCAGGAGAGGGAGGCUGUCAUGGGGGGGGGUCUGGCUCUUGGUGGCCCCAAGCCAAGCCUGAGGUGACUUCAGGGUGACACCGUCUGUCUGCCUCUCUCCCUCCAGACAUCCGCCCAGCCCUGAAAGGGCCACCUGCCUGCCUAGGCCUUUGGCGCACCUGUCCUGGCCAGCCUGGCUCCUCCCCCAGGCACCCUGCCCGUGGGCAGACACUGCAGGACUAGAGCAAGGCUGGGAGGUGGCAGCUGGCAGAUGGCAGGGUGCCUGCUGACUGCUCACUCCCUGGCGACCUGUUCAGGAUCGCCAUUCAUGUGCACUGCCCGCCCCGCCACUGGCCCUCAUCCAGCCUCGCCCCACUGGGUCCCUUUGGUUUGUUUCAGGACCCCCUUCCCUGUUACCCGUUAAGAAAGGAGGCAUUUAUGUGAGUCCCACCCCCCAGGGCAGAGGUCAGUGGUCAAGCUAAUCCUGGCACAUCUAAACACUUCUCGAGUAUGAACUGGGCCUUUUCCUCACUCGUUCACAUUCAGCUCUGGAGACCAAGAAAGGGUGACCCUUCCGGAGUCUCGUGGAACCAGUGUACCCCCUGUAGGGCAGAACUGAGCAGUCCAUGGUAGCCGGGCCUGCCACCAGAGCAUGGAGAGAUACCUGUGGGUCAGCCUCACCAGACUAGCGCCCUGGGCACAGUGAGGCCCCCUGGAGAGCAGAAACCUUGUGGAAAGGAACAGGAACAACAGGUCAGUAGUUCCCAGCAGAGAGACAGACCAGGGCAAAAGCCAGGAGGUGGGGAGGGCCUGGGAGAUGGCCAAGGAGGGCAGAGGAGGCUAGCCCAGGGCAUUUUGCUGCUUUGUGGACUGGGGCGGGGCUGACGGCACAGUGGAAAGAAUCAGAGAAAGGGUGUCCAAUGGAUAGCUUGGCCGUCAUGGUGGUAACAGGCAAGGCUGGUAGUCAGGGAAGGAGGGCCUUUCCCACCCUUGUGUCCUCACGACCCUCAAUAGCCAAUGGUCUCAUCUUCCUUUCCUUGAGCUGUGCAGGAAUAGCAAGGCUUGUAACAAACUGCUCUGGCUUGAUGGACAGACAGAACUGAGCAGACCCCAGGCAGGGCUUGUCUCUGUUCCGCACCCAAGGCUCAGCCCCAGAGCCCUUCAGCUGGCCGGGCUGCUCCCUCACUACCACCAUGUCCCUGGUUGGUCUUCCAUCUUUCUGCUGGCCCUGCCAUGAUGCCUUCGCCAGAAUGGGCCCAAAGGAAGUAGGGUAGUGACUUGAUUCAUGGAGGAAGCCUGUGGUCCCGUGAGACUCUGGGUCUCAGCUCUCGGAGGGAGGGAGAGUUCAGGUCCUACUCGCCCUAUCUUGGGAAGCUGCGUCUUGCCGCCAACCUCUGAGGGAGGAUUAACUCUUUCCAGGGUCCAGCUAACUACCACAGUGUACAUGAGAGAGUAUGAGCCUGUCCCCUUGCGGCUCUGCUUCUCUCAGACCCCACAGUUAGUGGCCACGUGGGUCACUGGCCACCCACAUAGACAUGCUUGACCACCAUGGACGAAGUUUGAGUCAUAGUCUCUGGCCAGCACGUCCAACACCAGGCUGGUUUGAGAGGCCAUUCCAUCCAGACCUUUGCCUGCUGCAGAGUGUCACCAGGCAGCAGAGAGACUGGAUGAAAAUGUCACUGUGUUGUGGGCUAGCAGGGUACAGUGAGGGGAGGCAUCCGGGGCCUGGGCUGUCUCGUUUCGGAAGCUGACGAUGGUUGCUUUUGUUUCUAAACCCAAACAGGUCAGGAAGUGGUGCCAAGCAGGAGCUUCUGCAUGCUGCCGACUUCCCUGUGGUGAGUGGAGCCUCACUGUCCUUCCCCAGGAGAGUAGGGAGCCAUGGGAGACCUCAGAGUGAGAAAGGCUAGGGUCAGAACCACAUCCCUCCCUGCCACUGCCCCAGGACCUCAGCGUAGACAUCCUUACCUGGAGGCCUGUGCCUCCCACCAGCAGACCACCCCCAGGGGAUUCAUCUCAUCUACCCAUGAUGCACUGUGAUAAGAUGAUCUUUGACCCCACAUCGGACUACCAGGGCUGGAUAUGGUUUAACGGAGCUGCAGUUUCAUUCAUUACUGGCUUUGAGUGGAAGAGGUGCAGCCUCGCUACCCUGAGGCAACACUGUCUGUAGGCUCACGCCCUUCAGGUCACUCAGCCUCGAGAGCUCUCUGGGGACCUCAAAGGCAGCUCUCUUCUCUCUGUCCCCCAUCACCAUCACUCAGCCCUCCAGUGUGAUCCUAAUACCCCCACACCACCCAGCAGUGAUGGAGGACCAUCUGCAGUGACUGCCAGGAGAGUCGUGCCUGGUGUGAGAAAGAAGGCCAGAUGAGGGAAACAGAAUCACAUCUGUUCCCAGCCUGGGCUAAGGCACAGGGGUGGUGGCCAUGGUCAAGGAGGGACCAGGGUGCUUGUCUCCCGUUAUUUCUCUCCUAUAGCUUGAGUCCUGCAUGUUGCAAUGAAGCCCAAACUCGGGGAGGGUAGUCAGGGACAGGGGCAGGACAAGCACUUUUGGGGGCUAUCACAGGUGGCACAUAUCAGUCUCCUGCUGAUUGCUAACUACACUGGCCAAGGAGCUGCGAAGAAUCCCCAACGGUCCCCAGUGAGAGGCAGCUCAGACCUACCAGGCAGUUCUGGUAUCCUGCUGGCCAGGGGCAGAACCCAAAAUGUUGAGAGGCCCGUGAUGAGGUGUGCCUUCUCUCCUUCAAGGUGUUUCUGAAAGGCUCAGAUGGUGUUGGCAAAAGUGUCUUCUGGUCAUUCUACCACAUCCAGGUGCAUCCUGGGAACUGACAAGGUCAACCAUGGCCAAUCAGUGACACCUCCACCUUCCCACCUGGUCCACUCAUCAUAGAUGGGAACACGGGGUGGGGGUGGGACUGAGCCACUCUCUUCCCAUGCCUUCCUUCUCACUAGUUCUGCUUGGACCAUCCUUGGGGAUAUUUGACCUGUCUCUUAGUAAAAGGGUACAGGCUUGAGGCAGGGGGAUAGCACCCCUGAGGCUCACAUAGAUGUUCUUCUAGGACUGGACAGUGCCUGCACACCUAGGUCCAGGCCACACUAGCGUUUUGGGGCCGUGUUCCCAAUCCACUCUGUCUCAUAGACUCCAGAUCUGGGUGCACAGUGUGGACUUAAGCCUAAUGGCUCCAGGGUCUUUGGACUUGCUCCUGUGACCCUUGGCAGAGAGAGAGGGAGGUGUGGUAUCAGGUGCUUGGCCUCCUGGUACUGGGCACAGAGCUUCCCUCUGCCUUGCUGGGCAAACCUGUCUGCUGAGAGCAGAGCCACCUGGGGGGCUAGAGCCGGUGUCUUCACAGUGACCCCACCUCACAGCUGGAGGAGUAGAUGACUCCACCCAGCCUGGUGCCUGCCCUGGAAGACUAUGGAAGGAGGCCUGCAGUAGAGUCUUUAAGACUCUGCUGGUACCCGGGAGCAGAGAACUACAGAAGCAUCUUACAAGGUGGGAAGGAUGCUCGAGCGCACUGCUGCUGCGUGGCUGGGCAGGCUGUAGGCCUUGCUUAUAAGAAGGGCUUACAGUAUACUUGCCCAAGGGUCCCCUGCAAGCUAGUGACUGUGAGCAGUGCAGACUCACAGUACAGACUGACUGUUGUCCCAGAGUGGGCCUCACCUGCCCCACUACACAGUGAGUGGCAAGACCCACACCAGCCCGCCUGUCCUUACCAGGUCUUCCUCCCUGCUGGGCUCUGUCCAACGCUCUGGGAGUCCCAAACUCAGAGCCAAAUACAGAGCCCCCCGCUGGCUUCAGGAAGUGCCAGUCGCCAAGGACAGCCUGGCCAUCCGUGUCCAGCCAGGGUCUGCACUUCCGCCCAGCUGGCCACCAUGGGGAGCUAGGCUGCCUCCCACAAGGAAAAAAAAAUGGUUUUGAGCCUCCCGUAGCAAGGUCAGCUCAGGCCACCCUGGGGGGAAGGCAGGGACAGAACCAGAGCCCUCAAGGAGGGGCUCUUCCUGUGAGAGGGGGGUGCAUGCCCAAGGCCGCCGCCUCGCUGGAGUCCUGGUGCCUCCAGCGCUUCCUGUGCUCCACCACAGAGGCUGGGUCUCCGCCAGGUGGACGCUGGAAGCUCCCUGAACCUGGCUGGCCUUUGACAAGUGACACCCUUCCUCCACGGUGGUCAUUCCUGCCUAGGAACUGGUCAGCUUUUGCUCUCUUCUCCCCGCCCCCACUUCCGUCAUCCUCUCUGCUUGUGGUGAUUUUGUUUAAGUGUCCUGGCCCACUGUGGGGGAAUCCCAGUCCGCUGCCGGCUGAUACCCUUUAGCACCGAGCUGGCCAUGUUGGGCCCCUCACCAUGUUCCCAGCUCUUCUUCUCUAGGAGGCAUCUCCAGAAGCCGUAGCAUCCAGCUCGACACCAAGACUGACGGACGGCCUUUGGGGUGAGGUAGUAGGUUGUAUGGUUUUGGGCUCUGCCCCGCUCUGCGGUAACUAUACAAUCUACUGUCUUUCCUGAAGUGGCUGCAAUAAUCUACAGAGAACACAACGCCAGCCUGACUUGGGAGGCCGAGGGGGGCACGGGGGUGGUAGCUGCCAUGUCUGACAGGGGCCUUGGACAGUCCCUUGACCUCUCUGGUCUGUUGCUUUUCUGUAAGGGUUGAGGCGUGGGGGUGUGCAGACGUGUGGCAUUUCCAGGGCACCUCCUCUCCCUUGACCACACUGAAGCGGCUUUGCUUCUCCUGAUCCCAUCAUAUUAGGCUAUCAGGCCUGGCCUCACAGGCCUCCCUGAAGAAAGGGUGUGGGCUGGACCUUCAACUGUGUCUCAGAGUUGCCACACACUCCAGACCUGGCAUAUGCCCAGGAUUUCCAGCUUGAGGGCAGGCUUUUGUUGAAUGGCAGCGUCUCCAUCUACAUAGAGACAAGGCAGCUUUUCCAUGAAGGAAGAGAGAGGAGGGUUCUAGCCUGCCUGGGCACCCUGUGGGCAGAGCCUGCAGCUGGACUGUAGGCCACUGUCCCUGGGGCGGUGGGUUCAGACACUGGAGACGUCCCUGAUCCAUCUGGUGGGUACAGGCCUUUCUUGCUGAGCCACUGUCUCCGCUUCCCCCCCUGCCCUGUGCCAGCUGUGCCAUAUGGCUCUGGCGGCCUGUGGCCAGGGUGGGUGGGGAGCGGCUGGGCCUCCUCCAGAACAUGGACCCCGCAGGGUGAGGUAGUAGGUUGUGUGGUUUCAGGGCAGUGAUGUUGCCCCUUAGAAGAUAACUAUACAACCUACUGCCUUCCCUGAGGAGCCCAGGGUCACGUGCACAUGGAGGCCCCUGCUCAGCAAGCCAUGUGGAGAGCCUGUGCCACAGAUUGGGUGGGGGCAGUGAUGUGGGGCCUGGAUAAAAAUAAAGGCAUUUUGACAUGAA